UGUGCCCUUGCACUGCCGCCGGCCACAGAAUAAGGUUUUUAAUCUGCUGCGGCUAAAUUGGUUUUCUGAUCAGUUGAGCGUCAACAGGAGCUUGGGAUUUAGUAACUUUGUGAUCCCCAGCAG
Long non-coding RNA from Zingiber officinale, 123 nucleotides. RefSeq lists it as uncharacterized. The record is from RefSeq and is a predicted model, not a curated record. The transcript is spliced from 3 exons. NCBI's taxonomy places the organism in Eukaryota, Viridiplantae, Streptophyta, Magnoliopsida, Zingiberales, Zingiberaceae.